Molecule: ribosomal RNA, 498 nt
Filed under: uncultured bacterium
Lineage: Bacteria
Description: partial 16S ribosomal RNA
Rfam family: Bacterial small subunit ribosomal RNA
Source: RNAcentral
AUUGAACGCUGGCGGCAUGCCUUACACAUGCAAGUCGAACGGUAACAGGUCUUCGGAUGCUGACGAGUGGCGAACGGGUGAGUAAUACAUCGGAACGUGCCUAGAAGUGGGGGAUAACUACUCGAAGGAGUGGCUAAUACCGCAUGAGAUCUACGGAUGAAAGCAGGGGAUCGCAAGACCUUGUGCUACUAGAGCGGCCGAUGGCAGAUUAGGUAGUUGGUGGGAUAAAAGCUUACCAAGCCGACGAUCUGUAGCUGGUCUGAGAGGACGAGCAGCAACACUGGUACUGAGACAAGGCCCAGACGCCUACGGGAGGCAGCAGUGGGGAAGUUUGGACAAUGGGCGAAAGCCUGAUCCAGCAAUGCCGCGUGCAGGAUGAAGGCCUUCGGGUUGUAAACUGCUUUUGUACGGAACGAAAAGCCCCGGGUUAAUACCCUGGGGUCAUGACGGUACCGUAAGAAUAAGCACCGGCUAACUACGUGCCAGCCGCCGCCGUAA